RNAcentral lists this ribosomal RNA (440 nucleotides) under uncultured bacterium. RNAcentral's name for it is "partial 16S ribosomal RNA". It matches the Rfam family "Bacterial small subunit ribosomal RNA", at positions 338 to 795 of the family's 1533-position model. The record is from RNAcentral.
CCUACGGGUGGCAGCAGUGGGGAAUAUUGCACAAUGGGGGAAAGCCUGAUGCAGCGACGUCGCGUGAAGGAAGAAGUCCUUCGGUAUGUAAACUUCCAUUUGCAGGGAAGAAAAUGACGGUACGUGUCUAAGAAGCCCCGGCUAACUACGUGCCAGCAGCCGUGGUAAUACGGAGGGGGCAAGCGUUAUCCGGAUUUACUGGGUGUAAAGGGAGCGUAGGCGGUUUAGCAAGUCAGAAGUGAAAGCCCGGGGCUCAACUUCGGGACUGCUUUUGAAACUGUUGAACUAGAUUGCAGGAGAGGUAAGUGGAAUUCCUGGUGUAGCGGUGAAAUGCGUAGAUAUUAGGAGGAACACCAGUGGCGAAGGCGGCUUACUGGACUGUAAAUGACGCUGAGGCUCGAAAGCGUGGGGAGCAAACAGGAUUAGAUACCCCAGUAGUC